Long non-coding RNA from Mya arenaria, 2695 nucleotides. RefSeq lists it as uncharacterized. The record is from RefSeq and is a predicted model, not a curated record. NCBI's taxonomy places the organism in Eukaryota, Metazoa, Mollusca, Bivalvia, Myida, Myidae. The transcript has 2 exons.
GUAGGUUCAUUAAUUUUGACCCUGCACAGUCUGAUAUCAGUUUCAGAUCCUACACAAGGGUGUGGGUUCAUUUAUCUUGACCCCGCACAGUCUGAUAUCAGUUUCAGAUCCUACACACGAGUGUGGGUUCAUUAAUUUGAACCCUUACAGUCUGUUAUCAGUUUCAGAUCCUACACAAGAGUGUGGGUUCAUUAAUUUGACCCCGCACAGUCUUUUAUCAGUUUCAGAUCCUACACAAGGGUGUGGGUUCAUUAAUUUGAACCCGUACAGUCUGUUAUCAGUUUCAGAUCCUACACAAGGGUGUGGGUUCAUUAAUUUGAACCCGUACAGUCUGUUAUCAGUUUCAGAUCCUACACAAGGGUGUGGGUUCAUUAAUUUGAACCCGUACAGUCUGUUAUCAGUUUCAGAUCCUACACAAGGGUGUGGGUUCAUUAAUUUGAACCCGUACAGUCUGUUAUCAGUUUCAGAUCCUACACAAGGGUGUGGGUUCAUUAAUUUGAACCCGUACAGUCUGUUAUCAGUUUCAGAUCCUACACAAGGGUGUUGGUUCAUUAAUUUGAACCAGUACAGUCUGUUAUCAGUUUCAGAUCCUACACAAGGGUGUGGGUUCAUUAAUUUUAACCCCGCACAGUCUGUUAUCAGUUUCAGAUCCUACACAAGGGUGUGGGUUCAUUAAUUUUGACCCCGCACAGUCUGUUAUCAGUUUCAGAUCAUACACAAGGGUGUGGGUUCAUUAAUUAUGAACCCACACAGUCUGCUAUCCGUUUCAGAUCCUACACAAGGGUGUGGGUUCAUUAAUUUUAACCCGCACAGUCUGUUAUCAGUUUCAGAUCCUACACAAGAGUGUGGGUUCAUUAAUUUUGACCCCGCACAGUCUGUUAUCAGUUUCAGAUCCUACACAAGGGUGUGGGUUCAUUAAUUUUAACCCCGCACAGUCUAUCAGUUUCAGAUCCUACACAAGGGUGUGGGUUCAUUAAUUUUGACCCCGCACAGUCUGUUAUCAGUUUCAGAUCAUACACAAGGGUGUGGGUUCAUUAAUUUGAAUCAGUACAGUCUGUUAUCAGUUUCAGAUCCUACACAAGGGUGUGGGUUCAUUAAUUUGAACCCGUACAGUCUGUUAUCAGUUUCAGAUCCUACACAAGGGUGUGGGUUCAUUAAUUUUAAUCCCGCACAGUCUGUUAUCAGUUUCAGAUCCUACACAAGGGUGUGGGUUCAUUAAUUUUAACCCCGCACAGUCUGCUAUCAGUUUCAGAUCCUACACAAGGGUGUUGGUUCAUUAAUUUGAACCCGUACAGUCUGUUAUCAGUUUCAGAUCCUUCACAAGGGCGUGGGUUCAUUAAUUUGAACCCGUACAGUCUGCUAUCAGUUUCAGAUCAUACACAAGGGUGUUGGUUCAUUAAUUUGAACCCGUACAGUCUGUUAUCAGUUUCAGAUCCUACACAAGGGUGUGGGUUCAUUAAUUUGAACCAGUACAGUUUGUUAUCAGUUUCAGAUCCUACACAAGGGUGUGGGUUCAUUAAUUUGAACCAGUACAGUCUGUUAUCAGUUUUAGAUCCUACACAAGGGUGUGGGUUCAUUAAUUAUGAACCCGCACAGUCUACUAUCCGUUUCAGAUCCUACACAAGGGUGUGGGUUCAUUAGUUAGGAACCCGCACAGUCUGCUAUCCGUUUCAGAUCCUACACAAGGGUGUGGGUUCAUUAAUUAUGAACCCGCACAGUCUGCUAUCAGUUUCAGAUCCUACACAAGGGUGUGGGUUCAUUAAUUAUGAACCCACACAGUCUGCUAUCAGUUUCAGAUCAUACACAAGGGUGUUGGUUCAUUAAUUUGAACCCGUACAGUCUGCUAUCGGUUUCAGAUCAUACACAAGGGUGUUGGUUCAUUAAUUUGAACCCGUACAGUCUGCUAUCGGUUUCAGAUCAUACACAAGGGUGUGGGUUCAUUAAUUAUGAACCCGCACAGUCUGCUAUCAGUUUCAGAUCAUACACAAGGGUGUGGGUUCAUUAAUUCUGUGGACUCCGCGAUUUUGUCCCCGAUGUCUUUUUUUCUGUUACUGAUCCAACAAGACGCUAUCACCCCGUCCAUUACCGGGCUAAUGACACCUUUUUUUUUAAAUCUGUCACAGAUCGUACAUGACAAGGUCGUGGACACCCUGAAGCUGUAUCCCCAUCCCCACGGCUCACAUCUCAGGCGUUCACUCAAGGACAUCGCCCAAGGCGUUCUCGGCCGAAGUAUUCAGACAGGAGAGGGCCACGACAGUCAUGAAGACGCCGAAGUGGCCAUGCAGCUCGUUCUGCGCAAACUGUAAUCUGUUUGGCAAGAACAUGUAACAUGUGUACAAGUCUAUGUACAUAUGUCCAGUGUAGGAGGUGACCUAAUGUUCGACUGAUACCGACUUGCUACAAGGCGUUUAAUUAAAUUCUUCACGGAAACGAGUUCCUGUAUUAUAAACGUAUAUUUACAUAUCGAGUUAUUUAAGUUCUAAAUUACUUUAGAUCCUCCAUUUGUAUUUCAUUCACUGUGAUAGGGACCUUAUAGAAGACAAUGUGUGGACAGUGGUGCAUUUGUGUGUGAAUGUGUGAUAGGUCUUCACAAUUAUGUUACGUUUUAAAUUAGAGUUGAUUCUGUUCUCAUUGUUAUUGUGUUUGUGUAAUAUAGUUGGCUGUUUGUGAUUAUCAUUAAACAUUUUUAUCUGGA